GUCUUGUUCCUAACUCCUCCCCGGGUAGUUCCCAAUGUUUGGCACUUCCCAUACUUCGUGGGUGCCAGGCCGGUUUCAGCCUUUGAUCUAAAAAGCGAAAACUCUAUGUCAAUCCUUUUCCCGUCAAGACGCAAACUUUGUUUGGAGGCCGAAACACAAAGAAAAGCUCGGUGUUGAAGUGCGGUCCGCCGAAGUAGGGAACGCACCACAGGUUGACCCACGGCACGACUCUGGCCAUAGUGACAAGAGCUGGUCACCCCGGAGAGAUGGGAAGGAGGGCGGUGGGUGGGUCAAGCCUGGACUUUCUUCUCCUUCAUCGCAACGAUUCUUCCCCGUUCAAGAAUCACUGUUUUCGUGAUCGAAUGACGAAAUAGACGUUGCAUCAAGUUCCAUCCCAGCGAUUGGGAGUUUCCUUCCUUGAUCCGCCCUAUCUAAUUAAAUGCUUCGGGAAGGUUGUCUACGCCGAUGAUAAAUAAGGCCGGUUUCGAGCCAGUUCCUGUGGGAGUUUCAAUGGGGUAGGGCUCCAGUUGCAGUGGCAAUUGAAAUUGAAGUGGGAGUCCUUCUACAAGGGAGUUUUGCUCCAAGGGCUAUGAAUCGGGCAGGAGGAAGUGGAAGAGGUUGUUGGAGAGGAACUGAGAUUUGCAAGGGAUUGAAAAGCUGGCAACGCAAAGCAUGAGGGGCGUACUCACAUGUCUUUUGUGGCAAUCUGCAGGCAGGAGGGCAAAGGGUGGAAAAGUCUCCAAUAAGUUAAGUUCCUAGCCUCCCGAUUCAAAGACCUCAUUCCAUACCGUAGAGCUGGGAGUUCUAGUCCCGAUUAAUUUGAUCCGAUUAUAUCUGCCUUAAAGUCAAACUUUUAUCGGAUGACUUUUAACAUAGAAUUUUCUUCUUUUUUUCUUUCUCAUUUUUUUUCUAUUAUCAAAAUUUAAUGGAAAAUCCCAAUCAUCUUAUAUGCAUAAUAUUUUAAAAUUUGUAUAAGCAUGAUGUAUGCAUAAUCAUAAAUUCUAUGACUAAAACAUGCCACUUAUAUACAUGAUCCAUGAUGAUUAGAACAGAUAGCUUUCAUUUUAUGCAAUUUAAAUUGCAUGAAUAACAACAAUUCUUUUUCAUAACUUAUGAUACAUGAUCUACAAUAAGAUUAAGACGGGUUACUUACACUUAUAAUUUAGAUAAGAAAGC
Molecule: long non-coding RNA, 1176 nt
Filed under: Phoenix dactylifera (date palm)
Lineage: Eukaryota; Viridiplantae; Streptophyta; Magnoliopsida; Arecales; Arecaceae
Description: long non-coding RNA (PDAC_LNC015559)
Source: RNAcentral